UGAGAGCCGCAAUCCAGGGUUAUAUUAGAAGGGCAAAUUCAAGACAGUUUUCCAUUGGAUGGUGCUAAAUCAGGAAAGCUUUUUUUCCAUCUUAAGUGGACACCACAGAUUAGAUAAAGGAUGCCUUGUUCUUCUCUCUGCAUAAGAAGGCCAAAUCAUGAGAUUUCAACAUUUUUUAAGCUGUGAAAAAUUAAAUAUAUAUAAAAAAAGAAAAAGAAUCUCAAAUUGAGCGUAGUUUUACUUUAUUUAGAGGAAUUAAAUGAAAAUUUCAAGUUCUUUGAUGCGAUACUAUCGUAUACGAACAUCGCACUGUAGUAGACUGAAUGGAAAAGACGAAGGGUAUUAAAAAG
RNAcentral lists this unclassified non-coding RNA (350 nucleotides) under Hevea brasiliensis (rubber tree). The record is from RNAcentral. Lineage: Eukaryota; Viridiplantae; Streptophyta; Magnoliopsida; Malpighiales; Euphorbiaceae.